This 472-nucleotide ribosomal RNA is filed under the name uncultured Lachnospiraceae bacterium. Its description in RNAcentral is "bacterial SSU rRNA". It matches the Rfam family "Bacterial small subunit ribosomal RNA", at positions 921 to 1397 of the family's 1533-position model. The record is from RNAcentral. Lineage: Bacteria; Bacillati; Bacillota; Clostridia; Lachnospirales; Lachnospiraceae.
CCGCACAGCAGUGGAGUAUGUGGUUUAAUUCGAAGCAACGCGAAGAACUUACCAGGUCUUGACAUCCAACUAACGAAGUAGAGAUACAUUAGGUGCCCUUCGGGGAAAGUUGAGACAGGUGGUGCAUGGUUGUCGUCAGCUCGUGUCGUGAGAUGUUGGGUUAAGUCCCGCAACGAGCGCAACCCUUGCUAUUAGUUGCUACGCAAGAGCACUCUAAUAGGACUGCCGUUGACAAAACGGAGGAAGGUGGGGACGACGUCAAAUCAUCAUGCCCCUUAUGACCUGGGCUACACACGUACUACAAUGGCCAUCAACAGAGGGAAGCAAAGCAGCGAUGUGGAGCAAACCCCUAAAAAUGGUCUCAGUUCAGAUUGCAGGCUGCAACCCGCCUGCAUGAAGUCGGAAUUGCUAGUAAUCGCGGAUCAGCAUGCCGCGGUGAAUACGUUCCCGGGCCUUGUUACACACCGCCCGU